RNAcentral lists this ribosomal RNA (253 nucleotides) under uncultured bacterium. RNAcentral's name for it is "partial 16S ribosomal RNA". It matches the Rfam family "Bacterial small subunit ribosomal RNA", at positions 524 to 776 of the family's 1533-position model. The record is from RNAcentral.
GACGUAGGGCGCGAGCGUUGUCCGGAUUUAUUGGGCGUAAAGAGCUCGUGGGCGGCUUGUCGCGUCGUCCGUGAAAACUUGGGGCUCAACCCCAAGCUUGCGGUCGAUACGGGCAGGCUAGAGUUCGGUAGGGGAGACUGGAAUUCCUGGUGUAGCGGUGAAAUGCGCAGAUAUCAGGAGGAACACCGGUGGCGAAGGCGGCAUCCUGGACCAACACUGACACUGAGGAGCGAAAGCCAGGGGAGCAAACGGG